GACGAACGCUGGCGGCGUGCCUAAUACAUGCAAGUAGAACGCUGAAGAGACGAGCUUGCUCUUCUUGGAUGAGUUGCGAACGGGUGAGUAACGCGUAGGUAACCUGCCUUGUAGCGGGGGAUAACUAUUGGAAACGAUAGCUAAUACCGCAUAACAAUGGAUGACACAUGUCAUUUAUUUGGAAGGGGCAAUUGCUCCACUACAAGAUGGACCUGCGUUGUAUUAGCUAGUAGGCGAGGUAACGGCUCACCUAGGCGACGAUACAUAGCCGACCUGAGAGGGUGAUCGGCCACACUGGGACUGAGACACGGCCCAGACUCCUACGGGAGGCAGCAGUAGGGAAUCUUCGGCAAUGGGGGCAACCCUGACCGAGCAACGCCGCGUGAGUGAAGAAGGUUUUCGGAUCGUAAAGCUCUGUUGUAAGUCAAGAACGAGUGUGAGAGCGCAAAGUUCACACUGUGACGGUAGCUUACCAGAAAGGGACGGCUAACUACGUGCCAGCAGCCGCGGUAAUACGUAGGUCCCGAGCGUUGUCCGGAUUUAUUGCGCGUAAAGCGAGCGCAGGCGGUUAGAUAAAUCUGAAGUUAAAGGCUGUGGCUCAACCCUAGUUCGCUUUGGGAAACUGUCUUACUUGAGUGCUGAAAGGGAGAGUGGAAUUCCCUGUGUAGCGGUGAAAUGCGUAGAUAUAUGGAGGAACACCGGUGGCGAAAGCGGCUCUCUGGUCUGUAACUGACGCUGAGGCUCGAAAGCGUGGGGAGCGAACAGGAUUAGAUACCCUGGUAGUCCACGCCGUAAACGAUGAGUGCUAGGUGUUGGAUCCUUUCCGGGAUUCAGUGCCGCAGCUAACGCAUUAAGCACUCCGCCUGGGGAGUACGACCGCAAGGUUGAAACUCAAAGGAAUUGACGGGGGCCCGCACAAGCGGUGGAGCAUGUGGUUUAAUUCGAAGCAACGCGAAGAACCUUACCAGGUCUUGACAUCCCGAUGCUAUUUCUAGAGAUAGAAAGUUACUUCGGUACAUCGGUGACAGGUGGUGCAUGGUUGUCGUCAGCUCGUGUCGUGAGAUGUUGGGUUAAGUCCCGCAACGAGCGCAACCCCUAUUGUUAGUUGCCAUCAUUCAGUUGGGCACUCUAGCGAGACUGCCGGUAAUAAACCGGAGGAAGGUGGGGAUGACGUCAAAUCAUCAUGCCCCUUAUGACCUGGGCUACACACGUGCUACAAUGGUUGGUACAACGAGUUGCGAGUCGGUGACGGCAAGCUAAUCUCUUAAAGCCAAUCUCAGUUCGGAUUGUAGGCUGCAACUCGCCUACAUGAAGUCGGAAUCGCUAGUAAUCGCGGAUCAGCACGCCGCGGUGAAUACGUUCCCGGGCCU
This 1370-nucleotide ribosomal RNA is filed under the name uncultured bacterium. RNAcentral describes it as "bacterial SSU rRNA". It matches the Rfam family "Bacterial small subunit ribosomal RNA", at positions 28 to 1381 of the family's 1533-position model. The record is from RNAcentral.